UCUUUUCCUGUAGUGUGCGUCAUUGUUGGCAACCCGACUCUCCAGUCUGAUUGCCUUGUUGAGCAGGCUUUUGGCUUGGUGGCGUUCUCUCUAUAUACUAUCCUGAGCACCUGCUCCAUGAUAUUUAUGGGUUUUCUGAGCUCCCUACUUAUACUCUGAUGCAGCAGCGGCGAAAGUCACAAUUGUUUUCUUUAGACUAUAUCAGUUAUUAUCAAAUAGUAUGGAUUUAAAAUGGUGACUCACUAGAUUGACAGUCAAAGGGAACUGGACUUGCUAUUUUUGUCCUGAAGACGUUCAUCGGAGACACUCAGAGCUGAAUAGUCCUUAGAGGAAACCCAGUGGCCUUUGAUCAUUCUAGUAUCUGCGAUGGGACGUUUUAUAUUUAAAGCAUUUAGUUGAUACUUUUAUCUUGAAAAAGACAAGAUGACUCAGCUUAAAUUUUAUAUGUACUAUGAGAAGAAACUUUGGCUUCAAACAAGAGCAAAUUAAAAAAAAAUGUACAGUACAAAGAAAUCCAGGGUGGUGGGGGUGAAUUCAUGGGAAGGUGAUGUUUUUUAUGCUAACAUCCAAAUAUAGGUAGUGACUGUGCUGUUAAGGCCACAGAGGGAAGGUCAUUCCAGCAUUUGGGAGGUAGGGGAGAAGAGUUGGGGCUGGGUGGAGUGCUGAUCAGAGCAGGAAAGGGCCAAGCAAGAGAGGGAAGCAGAGCGUAGAGUGCGAGCAGCGCGCAGGGCUGGAGCAUCGCCUGGAGGUACGGGGGUGCGGCUCCCUCGGCAGCGCUGUAUGCUUGCACCAGGGUUUACAAUCCAUUAAGAACAACCACAGGCAGCCGGGGGGAUGGAGCGAUGCACAGACAUCGACAACAAAGCAAGCGCAAAGGUCUGAGUUUUAAACAAAACAUGGUGUUGCCUUUGCUGGUAAGAUCAUUAACGGGCGUAGGUAAGAUCCACCGGUACGAGAGCUGCACCGCGUAGGGGAGUGAGAUAACACGUGGUGGAGCAAAACAACGAAGACAGCGACAUGGACCGAUAAGAAGAGACUCAACCCACAUUGUAUUAUUUUUUUCUGUGUAAGAAUAUGAAAGACUGGGUCAGGAAAGAGGGUCAGACUUCAUGAACUGGCACAACUGCAUGUUGUUGUCAGGGAGAGAUAGUUUGGCCCAGAGCUCUGUAACGAUCUCCUUUUUCUAAUGCUAUAUUGCUGUUAGCUUUAAUAAAUGCUUGGAUUUGAA
Molecule: long non-coding RNA, 1228 nt
Organism: Seriola aureovittata
Lineage: Eukaryota; Metazoa; Chordata; Actinopteri; Carangiformes; Carangidae
Exons: 2
Source: RefSeq, a predicted model, not a curated record